AUGGCAUCGGAGGAUGUGGUGGGGAAGAGCAGGGGCGACAUGGCCGUCAACACCAUCGUCAACCUGGCUGAGGAGGCCAAGCUCGCGCGCGAGGGCAUCAAGGGCCCCGCCCAUGGGUGUCUUCAACUUAAGACGCUGCCCUUCCUCUGCUCCCUGUCCAAGCAAGCGAGCUCUGGAUCCACCCCCACAACCACGGCAUCGGCACCGACACCGGAGGCCAUGGAAAUGCAGCUCCGUCGCGUAGUCGUCGAGCCAAGGUUCAUUGAUGACAGCCAAGGGUUCAUGCUCGGAAACGACUACAUCUUGCUCCAUGUUGUCGGCUCAGCUAGAGUCCUUAAUCACGAGGAGAUGGGACACGUCGAUUGUUAG
Molecule: ribosomal RNA, 369 nt
Filed under: Triticum aestivum (bread wheat)
Lineage: Eukaryota; Viridiplantae; Streptophyta; Magnoliopsida; Poales; Poaceae
Description: partial small subunit ribosomal RNA
Source: RNAcentral